CUCCCUCCCUCCGUCUCUCUUUUUGUUUCUCUCUUUAUCCAUCUCUCUCUCACUCUCUCUCUCUCUCUCUCUCUCUCUCUCUCCAUCUAUCUCUCUCCCUCACUUUCUUUCUCUAAACAGGUCUAAUCACAAGGAACAAGAGGAACUCUGCCACUGGCGAGCAGGUGAAAGAGAAGAUAUCUGGUAUCACGGCGUCUCUCAGAGCGUCUGCGUUCUGAUUGGUAGCAGCUGCACUGCACUAAGCGCUGUGAUUAAUGACUCCUGGAGUGACGCGAACCCCCACGUCCUGCUUUAAUGAAUAUCUCUGUGAGCAGACUAAGCGAGCUUUCCACAGCCACCAGGAGAUCCCGAGUCCUCCAUCCAAUCCAGCAGGUUUGAGGAUGAGUCCAUAUAUGGAAAUAAGGGAAAAUGUGGAAACUCUGUCUAAGAAUGGAAAAAUUUCACACUUCCUGCAGUCCAGAUGAUUCGGGUUCAAGCCGCGACUGCAAGCAAGGGACU
Long non-coding RNA from Hemibagrus wyckioides, 498 nucleotides. RefSeq lists it as uncharacterized. The transcript is spliced from 4 exons. The record is from RefSeq and is a predicted model, not a curated record. Lineage: Eukaryota; Metazoa; Chordata; Actinopteri; Siluriformes; Bagridae.